RNAcentral lists this ribosomal RNA (1217 nucleotides) under metagenome. RNAcentral describes it as "bacterial LSU rRNA". It matches the Rfam family "Bacterial large subunit ribosomal RNA", at positions 1711 to 2925 of the family's 2925-position model. The record is from RNAcentral.
AACUAGGCAAAAGGGUACCGUAACUUCGGGAGAAGGUACGCCUCUGCUGGUGAGUUGCUUUACGCAACGGAGCUGGUGGGGGCCGCAGAGACCAGGUGGCUGCGACUGUUUAUUAAAAACACAGCACUCUGCAAAUUCGUAAGAAGACGUAUAGGGUGUGACGCCUGCCCGGUGCCGGAAGGUUAAUUGAUGGGGUUAUCUUUGGAGAAGCUCUUGAUCGAAGCCCCGGUAAACGGCGGCCGUAACGAUAACGGUCCUAAGGUAGCGAAAUUCCUUGUCGGGUAAGUUCCGACCUGCACGAAUGGCGUAACGAUGGCCACACUGUCUCCACCCGAGACUCAGUGAAAUUGAAAUCGCUGUGAAGAUGCAGUGUACCCGCGGCUAGACGGAAAGACCCCGUGAACCUUUACUAUAGUUUUGCACUGGACUUUGAUGAUGACUGUGUAGGAUAGGUGGGAGGCUAUGAAGUGAGGACGCUAGUUUUCAUGGAGCUGACCUUGAAAUACCACCCUGUUGUUCUUGAGGUUCUAACUUGGUCCCAUUAUCUGGGAUAAGGACAGUGUAUGAUGGGUAGUUUGACUGGGGCGGUCUCCUCCCAAAGAGUAACGGAGGAGCACAAAGGUACCCUCGGUACGGUCGGACAUCGUACCAAGAGUGUAAAGGCAUAAGGGUGCUUGACUGCGAGAGUGACGGCUCGAGCAGGUACGAAAGUAGGUCUUAGUGAUCCGGUGGUUCUGAAUGGAAGGGCCAUCGCUCAACGGAUAAAAGGUACUCCGGGGAUAACAGGCUGAUACCGCCCAAGAGUUCAUAUCGACGGCGGUGUUUGGCACCUCGAUGUCGGCUCAUCACAUCCUGGGGCUGAAGCAGGUCCCAAGGGUAUGGCUGUUCGCCAUUUAAAGUGGUACGCGAGCUGGGUUUAGAACGUCGUGAGACAGUUCGGUCCCUAUCUGCCGUGGGCGUAGGAAAAUUGAGAGGCGCUGCUCCUAGUACGAGAGGACCGGAGUGGACGAACCUCUGGUGUACCGGUUGUCACGCCAGUGGCAUCGCCGGGUAGCUAAGUUCGGAAGGGAUAACCGCUGAAAGCAUCUAAGCGAGAAGCCUCCCUCAAGAUGAGUUUUCCCAUGAAGCCCGUUGAAGACUACGACGUAGAUAGGCAAGGUGUGGAAGCCCAGUAAUGGGUGAAGCUAACUUGUACUAAUUGGCUGAUUGUCUUGACC